This 2534-nucleotide long non-coding RNA is filed under the name Homo sapiens (human). Its description in RNAcentral is "HSALNT0037695". The record is from RNAcentral. Lineage: Eukaryota; Metazoa; Chordata; Mammalia; Primates; Hominidae.
AUACACUGUGGCUGGAGCCUCCUUCCUCAUGAGCUCUCCUUAGGUCUGGUGUGUCCUGAGACACAUCUGAGAUGUCAUCCUUUUGAAAGUAUAUUCUCUGUUUAAUUUUCUUUGGCGUGGGUCUGCUAUCUGUUCAAUACAAUUGACACCGAUUCUCUAGCCUCAUCUGUCUUGGAGUUGAGUCCAUGGUGACCACAAGGAGAUUUUCUGCCCCUUGAACAGAGGAUUACCCUGUGUGGGAUGCAAGGCCUCUUAGCCAGUCUAGCUUUGUCACACAACAGCAGGACUGGUAAAUGACUCACCUUGACUGCCACAAAGUCAUAUGGUCAUAUGACCUAUCAUCAGCACACACACACAUUCCAGCCCAGGUGGGGACUUGACAGAUGGUGUGAUCUUCAGAGGCUGGCUGUAAUGCUUCUUACAUUUCCUGACUACUGUUUUAUAGCAUCACACAGGUAUUGUGGGGAGCUGCUGCCACGGACAACUUCAGACUUACUGAAGUAGCUUUUUCUUUUAAGCUGCACAUGAGUGCAGUCCCUGGAGUUUUUGCCCACAAUAUCUUUCUCAAAACAGGGGUCCAUGUGUGAGUAGACCUUCUACAGAUGCGAAUGAAACCAGUGUCAUUGUUGCUGGUGUCAUUAUGUCUAUAGAUUCAGGAUGUUAGAGGGUGGCUCUGUGGUCUUUUCUGUUCGAGGUAAAACAUAAACAGCAGGUCCUGGAGGGUCCAGUUGGGACUUGUCUUAUGAAUGGUGUGAAUCAUAUUGGAAUUUGGAAGCCUAAUGGCCACCCAAGCCCAUGGGCUGGGCAGUCGCUUCCCAUGCAUGCUCUAAUAUUCAGAUGUGCCUGCAGAUUCUUCAGUGUCUUCAUGGCUCAUGGCACUUGAGCACCCUUGUCUAAGGGAUUCCAGACUUUCCUAGGUGGAAGGAAUAAAAUCUACCCCAUAUAAUCAGUUCCAUAGAAUGCUGAGGGGUAAAUAUACUAAGAUGGAAGCAGAGAGAGCCAUAUAGGAAUAUAGGAUCCCCACAUUACAUCCAAGAUCAGUGAGUAUUUUAAACCUAGUUGUGAUAUAUUCUCUUCAUCCCUUUUUUUUCCUUGUGUAGAGCCUAGGAAGAUUGUCUUCCUAAUGCCUUUUUGUGUCUUUAAUUAGGAUUUAUGCAGCCUAAUAUCCUGAAAUCCCUUUCACUUUGUUCUGUUGUGAUUUAGGGUGUAGUUCUUUCUGAAGUAUUUUAACUUGUUUGUUUUGAAGUUUUUAUGUACUCUUGUUUGCUUUACUGCUCCUUACUGUAAGGAUGCCAAGAUAAGAAAGAAGUUGAAUUGUGGAGAAAUACUGAGAUUUUGCAAGCUUUAAAAAGAGUUCACACCCUUAUUGAGCUGAAACACUGCACCACUUACUCCUGUACCAUCACUGAUGUUGGCCAUCAUGAAACCAAUAAAAUCUGCUGAGAACCUAACAACUAGAUCUCCUGGCUUAUAUUUCUAGCAUCAUAAGGGGAAAUAUUUCUUUUUCUGGUAAGAUAUUAGAAAUUUGGCCUGUUUAGUCUAUCUCAUGGUUUUCUGUGUUCUAAAAUAUCUUUCAGUUUUCAGUCACAAUUUGAAAGCAUCGUUAGCCCUGGUUAUACAGAUGUGCCUAGGAUGUGACUCAGGUAAGCUUUUCUGUAUUUGCUCUAUUUCACUUCUGAAGCAUCUCAUUGGUAAUGUCCAGCCAGAUCUAAAAACCUCUCUCGCUGGGCGGUCCUUCCUGAAGACCCCUUUGGUUUUCAGAAUUAGUGGUGUUAGCCUACCCAACAGUCAUAUGCCAAUUCUCCUAUUCAAAAGAUGCCCCUUGCUAAUGAAUUUAUUAUCUCUUGGCAAAGUCUGAUGAAUUAAUUUCAUAACCAUCUCUCUCCAGAAGCUGUCUGGUGAAAUCUCCUAUAAUGUAUGGUCCUUGGUAACUCCUAAGCCCCUUCUGCCCCUCAAAGAGCCACAACCUGGCUUAUGAACAAAUGGCCGCAGCUCUCCUGCUAACCACCAUGGAUUUCAGUGGGUCUAUCUGGUCUCCAUUCCUGGUCUUCCUGAGAAGUAAGGUCAGGAGCAGCAGGGGCAGUUGGACUUAGGUCUAGGGCUCUGUUUCUGGUCAUCGGGGGAGUGCUGCAAGACCCACCAGCUCAAGGUGCUAACCUGAGCCUAUCACCUCUGGAUGAAAUGGGGUAAUGUGGAUGGGUGAUGUUGGACAACUGGAAGGAGGACUCAGGUAGCCCCAGCCAAAACAAAAGAGCUGAAGAAUAAAAAUAUGCUGUCUGGCUGACAUUAAUGGCCAAUAUUUAAAAAACUUACAUAUCCCCUUGCCAGUUUAUAGCUCUUAGAUUUUUAAAUAUUUAUUUUUUUACAUACAAAAAUACUUGGGGUUGUUUAUAUUAACAAUUUGAAAAAGAUCCUGAAUAUACAAGUAUACAAAUUUCCAUUUUCAUUGUGACUUGAUGCAUGCAUUUCCUAACUGGCACGCAAUCACAUUGCAUUCCAAGACUACAUUACUUAUAGGGUUCUGUUUUACAGAU